RNAcentral lists this ribosomal RNA (508 nucleotides) under uncultured Entrophospora. RNAcentral's name for it is "SSU rRNA". It matches the Rfam family "Eukaryotic small subunit ribosomal RNA", at positions 569 to 1075 of the family's 1831-position model. The record is from RNAcentral. Lineage: Eukaryota; Fungi; Glomeromycota; Glomeromycetes; Entrophosporales; Entrophosporaceae.
AGCAGCCGCGGUAAUUCCAGCUCCAAUAGCGUAUAUUAAAGUUGUUGCAGUUAAAAAGCUCGUAGUUGAAUUUCGGGAUUGACGUGACGGUCGUGCCUUAAGGGGUAUGAACUGUCGCAGUUGAUUUCUCACCUUCUGGAGAAGCAUGAUGUCCUUAAUUGGGUGUCAUGUGGAACCAGGACCUUUACCUUGAAAAAAUUAGAGUGUUUAAAGCAGGCAUUUUGCUCGAAUACAUUAGCAUGGAAUAAUAGAAUAGGACGGCAUGGUUCUAUUUUGUUGGUUUCUAGGAUCACUGUAAUGAUUAAUAGGGAUAGUUGGGGGCAUUAGUAUUCAAUUGUCAGAGGUGAAAUUCUUGGAUUUAUUGAAGACUAACUACUGCGAAAGCAUUUGCCAAGGAUGUUUUCAUUAAUCAAGAACGAAAGUUAGGGGAUCGAAGACGAUCAGAUACCGUCGUAGUCUUAACCAUAAACUAUGCCGACUAGGAAUCGGACGAUGUUAAUUUUAUAAU